GACGUAGGAGGCGAGCGUUAUCCGGAUUCACUGGGCGUAAAGCGCAUGUAGGCGGCUCGAUAAGUCGUGUGUUAAAGCCCCUGGCUCAACUGGGGGAGGUCAUGCGAGACUAUCGGACUUGAGGGCAGUAGAGGCACGUGGAACUCCCGGUGUAGCGGUGGAAUGCGUAGAGAUCGGGAAGAACACCCGUGGCGAAGGCGACGUGCUGGGCUGCAACUGACGCUGAGACGCGAAAGCGUGGGGAGCGAACAGG
This 253-nucleotide ribosomal RNA is filed under the name uncultured bacterium. Its description in RNAcentral is "partial 16S ribosomal RNA". It matches the Rfam family "Bacterial small subunit ribosomal RNA", at positions 524 to 776 of the family's 1533-position model. The record is from RNAcentral.